GGGGGGGGGGGGGGGGGGGGGGGGGGCGGGCGGGGCGGGGGGGGGGGCGGGGGGCGUGCGCCUCGGAGGUGGGGGGCGGGCGGGGGAGUAACCCGUGGCUAACCUCCCUCGAAGACGGGGAUAACUGCGGGGACCCGGAGCUCCUACCGGCUCAUAUCUUGAACCGCAGGGGUCAAUAGUGAAAGACCGUAUUGCUGUCCUUUAUAGAGUGAUCCGCGCCGCCUUAGCUAGUUGGUACGGUAACGGCUUACCAAGGCAACGAUGGGUAGCCGACCUGCGAGGGUGAUCGGACACACGGGAACUGAGACACGGUCCAGACGCCUACGGGAGGCAGCAGUAGGGAAUCUUCCGCAAUGGGCGAAAGCCUGACGGAGCAACGCCGCGUGAGUGAUGAAGGUCUUCGGAUCGUAAAACUCUGUUAGUAGGGAAGAACAAAUGUGUAAGUAACUAUGCACGUCUUGACGGUACCUAAUCAGAAAGCCACGGCUAACUACGUG
RNAcentral lists this ribosomal RNA (497 nucleotides) under uncultured bacterium. Its description in RNAcentral is "partial 16S ribosomal RNA". It matches the Rfam family "Bacterial small subunit ribosomal RNA", at positions 35 to 507 of the family's 1533-position model. The record is from RNAcentral.